UGCAGUCGAGCGGACAGAUGGGAGCUUGCUCCCUGAUGUUAGCGGCGGACGGGUGAGUAACACGUGGGUAACCUGCCUGUAAGACUGGGAUAACUCCGGGAAACCGGGGCUAAUACCGGAUGGUUGUUUGAACCGCAUGGUUCAAACAUAAAAGGUGGCUUCGGCUACCACUUACAGAUGGACCCGCGGCGCAUUAGCUAGUUGGUGAGGUAACGGCUCACCAAGGCAACGAUGCGUAGCCGACCUGAGAGGGUGAUCGGCCACACUGGGACUGAGACACGGCCCAGACUCCUACGGGAGGCAGCAGUAGGGAAUCUUCCGCAAUGGACGAAAGUCUGACGGAGCAACGCCGCGUGAGUGAUGAAGGUUUUCGGAUCGUAAAGCUCUGUUGUUAGGGAAGAACAAGUACCGUUCGAAUAGGGCGGUACCUUGACGGUACCUAACCAGAAAGCCACGGCUAACUACGUGCCAGCAGCCGCGGUAAUACGUAGGUGGCAAGCGUUGUCCGGAAUUAUUGGGCGUAAAGGGCUCGCAGGCGGUUUCUUAAGUCUGAUGUGAAAGCCCCCGGCUCAACCGGGGAGGGUCAUUGGAAACUGGGGAACUUGAGUGCAGAAGAGGAGAGUGGAAUUCCACGUGUAGCGGUGAAAUGCGUAGAGAUGUGGAGGAACACCAGUGGCGAAGGCGACUCUCUGGUCUGUAACUGACGCUGAGGAGCGAAAGCGUGGGGAGCGAACAGGAUUAGAUACCCUGGUAGUCCACGCCGUAAACGAUGAGUGCUAAGUGUUAGGGGGUUUCCGCCCCUUAGUGCUGCAGCUAACGCAU
This 822-nucleotide ribosomal RNA is filed under the name Bacillus subtilis. RNAcentral's name for it is "bacterial SSU rRNA". It matches the Rfam family "Bacterial small subunit ribosomal RNA", at positions 56 to 860 of the family's 1533-position model. Lineage: Bacteria; Bacillati; Bacillota; Bacilli; Caryophanales; Bacillaceae. The record is from RNAcentral.